GAAACACGUUACGGUUCCAGCUGAUUGAAUGGGUAGAAGAAACAUUUAGACGUUACGGUUCCAGCUGAUUGAAUGGGUAGAAGAAACAUUUAGACGUUACGGUUCCAGCUGAUUGAAUGGGUAGAAGAAACAUUAGAGGUGUUUCUAUUCCUCCACUGCACACUUGAGUUUGAAUUUGUGAACCAUUUUAUUUGUCAAUCACUGCAAUGCAAUACUGGCAUAGGGUUUGAAGGUGAUGAUAAUAUUCACUCUGUUACAAGUGGCAAGACUUCCUGCUUUACAAUGAGUGACAAUCAUUCAAUGUACACAGACUAAAUCGAAAUCCAGACUGAUUAAGGGAUAUCUAUCUCACAAGAAUGGAUUUACAGAAACAAAAAUUCUGAUACAAUUUUUGGGUAAUAUUUUAAUGCUAAUAUUGGAAUAGAUGAAUCUAGCCCUGACCAACCAUUCCCAUUGGAAUUACACUGAUGCUGUAUAUCUGCCUGCAGGACAGGCUGUUCGUCUAUUAGUCAAACCAAACCAAACCUUUCCUCUGGACAAAACCCCAUAUUUCCCUAUUUUCCCUGCAGUCUGCUCUAGUAUUGGUAGCCUGUGGUACCAUAAGCUCUCUUGUGCCUCUCAAAUAGUCCAGAAUGAUUCAUGUCCCUGUAUUUUCUUCAUUGAUAUUUUUCUGUCCACGCUCCAGUCUGGGGUUUUGAUCCAUAUAACCAGUGGUUCAUAACGCGUAAUAUUUCAGUUUUGUCGUUUCUCUUUACUGCUGAUGAGCAGAAUUUAAAAUGAAAGCACAGCAAAGUCCUCUUCUGACUCUGUAAAACUGAAAUAUGGUGCUAAUCAUCAGUCACAUAGGCUGUGUUUACACCCAAUUCUGAUCUUUUUUCUUUUUAUCACUAAUUGGUCUUUUGACUAAUCAGAUCAGCUCUAAAAAAUAUAUAUGGUCUGAUGGGUAAAAAUACAAAUUAGUGAAAAAAAUAUCAGAAUUAGGUUGCCUGUGUAAAUGCAGCCUAACUGCUCUGCUUCUUCUUGUCUGCGUUGGUUUAUCUUGUUUUGACCAUCAGAUGGCGCUGUGGCAAUCUUCAUAAUUCACCACUACUAUCUACUCUGUUGGAUUUGUCAUCUUGAUAUUUCACAACAAUUCCCCCUGGUCAUAUAUAUGCAAAGUGAAUCACCACGUUAACAUGGUGUUUCAUGGCCUUGUUUAGUGAUUUUAUAAAAGUGAAAGCAUAGGGAGGGAUCAUUGGCAUUUUGAUUGAUUGGUUCAUUCACAUUUACUGACUUGCCUUAAUAGACAUAUUCCGCUUUUGACAGGUGUGAACGUUCUUAGACCCUACCCUUUAUCACUUGAUAUUCUUCUGGGAACAUCUGCUAAUCAUCCCUUCAACAACAACUGUCAUGGCCGUCUACAGUAUAGAUGUUGAGCAGUGCUACAGUAGCUCUGAAAUGUUGUACAUGAUGCAUAGUGACAAAUGCAGAGAUGGGGGAGACCAUUAUGCUCAAAUUGAAAUGCACUAGAAUAUUAGCCAGCAUCUGUGAGGAGUUGGAGUGGGUUUUACAGUUAUACUGUAUACCAGUGCUUUUAAAGUCAUUUGUUGUUUGUACUAAAAAGGUACAAUUUGUAUUUCUUGCAGAAUUUCAUGUAAAAAUAAAAAAUAAAAGGGCAAAGCAACCAUUAUGUAAAUAUGUGUCAUGUACAAAUUUAACUUUUAAAGUAUUGUUUGUGGAUUUUUGGAUCGAUUUAAGCUUUUUAUAAUGAGGCUUUAUUUAUCAGUGUCCUCCCUGUUUUGGAGGUAUAAAAUGUAAAUUCAUUUUUCUCUUAAUAAAUAACUAUUAUUGUUUGUCAACUGA
This is a long non-coding RNA of Oncorhynchus tshawytscha (Chinook salmon), 1842 nucleotides long. Lineage: Eukaryota; Metazoa; Chordata; Actinopteri; Salmoniformes; Salmonidae. The record is from Ensembl.